RNAcentral lists this unclassified non-coding RNA (395 nucleotides) under uncultured fungus. Its description in RNAcentral is "sequence contains ITS1". The stretch from base 1 to 106 matches the Rfam family "5.8S ribosomal RNA", at positions 50 to 154 of the family's 154-position model. Lineage: Eukaryota; Fungi. The record is from RNAcentral.
GAAAUGCGAUACGUAAUGCGAAUUGCAGAAUUCAGUGAAUCAUCAAAUCUUUGAACGCAAAUUGCGCUCUCGGGAUAGGCCUGAGAGCACGCCUCUUUGAGUAUCGAUUCCACCACCUCCAGAACAAACUUUGUUUUGACACUGGGAAUUUGAGUGUUUCAUAUCUUCGGAUGUGUCACCUGAAGCGGAAUGGAAUUGAGGGUCUGCGAAACUGCUGUUGAAUAUUCAUAGGCUGAAGUGGACUUGAACAUGGAUAAAUUUCCAAUGAUCAAUAAACUUUGGCUUUUUGAUCUCAGCGAAUCUAAGUUUUGCAAACAAGAAGCCCUCUCCUAACUAAUAUCUUAACUAACUAAGAAUUAGAUCUCAAAUGAAGCGAGACAACCCGCUGAACUUAA